Molecule: unclassified non-coding RNA, 250 nt
Filed under: plant metagenome
Description: partial contains small subunit ribosomal RNA, internal transcribed spacer 1, and 5.8S ribosomal RNA
Source: RNAcentral
GUAGGUGAACCUGCGGAAGGAUCAUUAAUGAAUAAAAUUGGUUUAGACUGUUGCUGGCCCUUUGGGGUAUGUGCACGCCUAUUCCGACUUUAUAACCACCUGUGCACCUUGUGUAGAUCUGAAUUGCCUUUCGAGUGUUUCGAACUCUCGGUUUGAAGGAUUGCCGUGCGCGAUGCCAGCUUUCCUUUAUUCUUUCAGAUCUAUGUUUUAUUAUACUCCAUAUCAAAGUAUUUGAAUGCAAUAGUCAAGG